GACGAACGCUGGCGGCGUGCUUAACACAUGCAAGUCGAACGGAUAAGCCCCGCAUUGGUGGAGUGUAUCAGUGGCGAACGGGUGAGUAACACGUGAGCAACCUGCCCCUGACUUUGGGAUAACCUCUGGAAACGGCGGCUAAUACUGGAUACGAGCUGGUUCCGCAUGGGGGCGUUCUGGAAGUUUUGGCGGUUGGGGAUGGACUCGCGGCCUAUCAGCUUGUUGGUGGGGUAGUGGCUUACCAAGGCGUUGACGGGUAGCCGGCCUGAGAGGGUGACCGGCCACACUGGGACUGAGAUACGGCCCAGACUCCUACGGGAGGCAGCAGUGGGGAAUAUUGCACAAUGGGCGGAAGCCUGAUGCAGCAACGCCGCGUGCGGGAUGACGGCCUUCGGGUUGUAAACCGCUUUCGCCUGUGACGAAGCGUGAGUGACGGUAAUGGGUAAAGAAGCACCGGCUAACUACGUG
This 468-nucleotide ribosomal RNA is filed under the name uncultured bacterium. RNAcentral's name for it is "partial 16S ribosomal RNA". It matches the Rfam family "Bacterial small subunit ribosomal RNA", at positions 28 to 507 of the family's 1533-position model. The record is from RNAcentral.